Molecule: ribosomal RNA, 254 nt
Filed under: uncultured bacterium
Lineage: Bacteria
Description: partial 16S ribosomal RNA
Rfam family: Bacterial small subunit ribosomal RNA
Source: RNAcentral
UACGUAGGGUGCGAGCGUUGUCCGGAAUUAUUGGGCGUAAAGAGCUCGUAGGCGGUGUGUCACGUCGGCCGUGAAAACCUGCAGCUUAACUGUGGGCGUGCGGUCGAUACGGGCAUCACUGGAGUUCGGCAGGGGAGACUGGAAUUCCUGGUGUAGCGGUGAAAUGCGCAGAUAUCAGGAGGAACACCGGUGGCGAAGGCGGAUCUCUGGGCCUUACCUGACGCUCAGGUGCGAAAGCUAGGGGAGCGAACAGG